This 470-nucleotide long non-coding RNA is filed under the name Trifolium pratense (red clover). RNAcentral describes it as "long non-coding RNA (TPRA_LNC010346)". The record is from RNAcentral. Lineage: Eukaryota; Viridiplantae; Streptophyta; Magnoliopsida; Fabales; Fabaceae.
AACUCAAGAAUUUUGUGUUCUUGAGAGUUUUGAUGAAAAAGUGUUCAAUCUUUACUUUUUCGAUGUUUAUGAUGUAGAUCUGAGAAAUGGACUGUCCUUUUGUGUUUAUCCAUGUUUGUUAUGCUUGAAUACAAACUCUUUUGGGAUUUAUAACAUGAAAAAUGGGAUUUUUGGGUGAUUUGGUGUAGAAAAUGCCAGAAUUUUGCCCCAGGCGAAAAUGUGUCAGUGAGCAACCAGUUCAUUCUGCAGUUAUUUCGCCCCAGGCGAAAAUGUUUCGCCCCAGGCGAAAAUUGAUCAGUGAGCAAACCAGUACUUCAGGAAUUAUUUCGCCCCAGGCGAAAAUGUUUCGCCUCAGGCGAUAAUGUUGCAGAUUUCACAAAUUUUCAUCUGCUGUCUUCCUUUGCAUGUAUUUUCAAAUCAGUGUCUUAUUCUUACAUGAUUGUUGAUGCAUGUUGAUGCUUAUAAUGCUC